CGCACACGCACCUCCACUCAAAGUCAAAACCAGGUCACUGUGGCUCCAUUAACUGGGAAGGAAAUCGUCGGGUGUCCCAUGUGAAGGAGGACCGUAGUUAAAGCCGCACCACGAGGAGCUGUGCAACGAGCUGGAGGAAGACGGGAAACUGGUUUAGUGACCAGUUCACAAAACACUGGGGUUUUGCUACAUGGUGUAUUACCAAUAGGAAUAUUUAGCUAAAUGCUCCAAUGGGCUCAGCAGCUCCACACGCCUUCCUGCUGCUUGCUCCAGGCUACAAACACACAGGAGCUCAAAGGCCAAACACCCCUUUUUCGUUCCGAUAUCAAUGAUGACCUGUAUGUGUGCACGGAGCUUUAACCAGGAAAGAUGGAGACCAUUCCUAAACCCAUUCCGGAUCUCUAGAUCUCCCAAGCAAUCAGUUUUAAAUGCAGACUAAUCUGCGUUUAUCAUCUACCAACCAUUUAAGCAGCACUGUGCUGCCAGGAGAAGGUGGUGGACCUGAGUGAUGUGACUAGCGGGCGUUUAGAUGCUGGGAGGCCUUCGAGCUGAGAAACAACACUUCUGUUGCCAACGUACACACGUUUUUCCCUGUAGAUGGUCUAUGCAGCAGUGAUGGAGAACAGUAGUUAUGAGAGAUGAUGAGAGGGAAACGGAAAGGUUGUGAAGACUUCUUUCCAAGAAAGCAGAAGAUCAAGGUUCCCAUGAACAAAGGAUUGAUCAUACGUCAGGCUAUUUUUAGCCGACUCUUGAGCUGAAUUAUGCGUCAAGGACAGUGCCGUGUCCCUGAGCGGAGACAGAGACCGGGGUGAUGUGGAGGAAGAGAAAGCCGAGUCGAGGGAGACGACGGGCGAGAUAGGCAGCAGGAGGACGAUACGGAGUCUGCUGCACCGCUCAGCUGUCCGAGGAGACUCACACCAGGACCAGUCCCCGGAGGAGGGAGGACCAGGAGUCCUGACCACUGAGGACUGAGGCCUUCCUGAGGAAACUGUCCACGAUUUGAGAACGAACACCAUCAUUUUCUGUACGGCAGCAUUACGGUUGCUAACCUCAGCCACAAGGAGCUACCGGUCGUACCACAGCGUGUGCGGUGGCCACAGAUAAAGUGGAGCGUGUAUAAAGGAAAGAGGACACGUUAAGGAUUAGCACCGCAGCAAAGACAGAUUCCCUUCAGACAUCAUAAGUGAAC
This is a long non-coding RNA of Gasterosteus aculeatus aculeatus (three-spined stickleback), 1189 nucleotides long. The record is from Ensembl. NCBI's taxonomy places the organism in Eukaryota, Metazoa, Chordata, Actinopteri, Perciformes, Gasterosteidae.